AUACGUAGGUGGCAAGCGUUGUCCGGAUUUACUGGGCGUAAAGGAUGUGUAGGCGGAUGUUUAAGUGAGAUGUGAAAUACCCGAGCUCAACUUGGGUGCUGCAUUUCAAACUGGAUAUCUAGAGUGUAGGAGAGGAAAGCGGAAUUCCUAGUGUAGCGGUGAAAUGCGUAGAGAUUAGGAAGAACACCAGUGGCGAAGGCGGCUUUCUGGACUGUAACUGACGCUGAGGCAUGAAAGCGUGGGGAGC
Molecule: ribosomal RNA, 247 nt
Filed under: uncultured bacterium
Lineage: Bacteria
Description: partial 16S ribosomal RNA
Rfam family: Bacterial small subunit ribosomal RNA
Source: RNAcentral